UUAUAACGUUAAUGUGCAUGCACAUAUGCAAUGGAAAUGUGACACACUUAUAAAUUCACAUAUGCUUCGAGUUUGGUUACACCACAAGUAUAUACUCUAUGCUUUGUUGGUGAUAAUACAAGCAAGAAGAAAUUACCAAACUCCUCUUGGUUAGGCUACACAUGGGCACAAUGUAGCUACAUGAUGAUAAUACUAAUACAAGUGAAACCAAACUUUAUAAAAUAUUCUCAUGAAUUUCAAAUCUAAGAUCACAUGAAUAUUUCACUAGUUCUAUAUGAUAUAGUUAAGAACUAGUAUGGGUAAGGUGCAUGUAGGCAAUCAACUUACAUGUCAAAAAGAUAAUCCCAUAUAAAUUGAAAUGAAACCAUGAACUCUCUAUAUAAAUGCAUGUAUAAAAUCAACUUAAAUUUUAUAAUAUAACCUCAUAUAGAUCGAAAUUAAACCAUGCACUCCCCUCAUAUAGGUGCAUAUGCCCACAAAUUAAAUGAUAACUAGGAUCAUAACCUACGUUACUUGCACUAAACAUAAAUUAGUGCAUCAUCAAUUUCCAUAUAGCCUUCUCAUAUGUGGUUUGACAAAAUAUAUCCCUUAUCAUAAACUGAACACAUAUUCCCUAAAUUCUAUGCAUUCAUACGGGAACCAAAUGCACGAUAAAAUUAACUCAUAAAAAGAGUUAUCCCCUAUAUUGCACACAUGCCCAUUAGUUAGGCUAGUUAAUCAUUAAAUAGAUCUUUGUAUUAAAAUAUGUGAUGGUUAAAGAGGUAGGCAUGCACAUGCUACAUGAACGAGCGUUCCAAAUUAUGAAUGCUAUGCAACACAUAUAUUAGCAUGGACGAGCUUCAAGGCUUCCCGAGUACGCCGACAUCGACGACAGCGAGGAGGAUUUUGUUUAAACAUUUUGUAGUUUUUAUUUUAUUUCUGCAUUUUGUAGUACCCAUAUGUUGCAAUGCUAUGUAAUAGAUAUAUGUUGGAAUUCUUAAUCAGGGGUUUUCUCCAUGGAGAUGUAAUUAACAGAUUUUUUAUGUAAAUGUAAGAGUUUUGUGAAUAAACAACCUACAAUGUUUGAUCUUCUUUUUAUUGUAUGCAUUUAUAUUAUGCGUUUUAAAUAUAUUCACUCUGUAUCAAUGACGUGGACGCGUGUUCUCACGCUCGUCAUUUUCCCGUCAUCAGUACCCCAAGUUAAUAU
This 1186-nucleotide long non-coding RNA is filed under the name Hordeum vulgare. RNAcentral describes it as "long non-coding RNA (HVUL_LNC009026)". The record is from RNAcentral. Lineage: Eukaryota; Viridiplantae; Streptophyta; Magnoliopsida; Poales; Poaceae.